Molecule: long non-coding RNA, 954 nt
Filed under: Fragaria vesca (wild strawberry)
Lineage: Eukaryota; Viridiplantae; Streptophyta; Magnoliopsida; Rosales; Rosaceae
Description: long non-coding RNA (FVES_LNC003785)
Source: RNAcentral
UAUUGUAAUAUCCCACAUCGGCCAAACGGAGAGGGGUUAUGUGCUGUAUAUGUACAUGCCCACCUCCAAUCUAACACGAGGUCUUUUGGUGGCUCAGCGGCUUCGGAGGGGAUGGGUACUCCGAAGUUAAGCAUGUUGAUGCUAGAGCAAUCCCAGGAUGGGUGACCUACUGGGAAGUUGCUCCUGAGCUGCCGGAAACAAAACCGUGAGGGCCGGUGGGCCCAAAGCAGACAAUAUCGUGUUACGGCGGAAUGGGUCCCGGGGUGUGACAAAUGGUAUCAGAGCCACUCUGCCGUGUGGUGCGAGUGUGCCGACGAGGGCGUCGGACUCCCAAGGGGGGUGGAUUGUAAUAUCCCACAUCGGUCAAACGGAGAGGGGUUAUGUGCUGUAUAUGUACAUGCCCACCUCCAAUCUAACACGAGGCUUUUUGGUGGCUCAGCGGCUUCGGAGGGGAUGGGUACUCCGAAGUUAAGCAUGUUGAUGCUAGAGCAAUCCCAGGAUGGGUAACCUACAGGGAAGUUGCUCCUGAGCUGCCGGAAACAAAACCGUGAGGGCCGGUGGGCCCAAAGCGGACAAUAUCGUGUUACGGCGGAAUGGGUCCUAGGGUGUUACAAAUGGUAUCAGAGCCACUCUGCCGUGUGGUGCGAGUGUGCCGACGAGGGCGUCGGACUCCCAAGGGGGGUGGAUUGUAAUAUCCCACAUCGGUCAAACGGAGAGGGGUUAUGUGCUGUAUAUGUACAUGCCCACCUCCAAUCUAACACGAGGCCUUUUGGUGGCUCAGCGGCUUCGGAGGGGAUGGGUACUCCGAGGUUAAGCAUGUCGAUGCGAGAGCAAUCCCAGGAUGGGUGACCUAUUGGGAAGUUGCUCCUGAGCUGCCGGAAACAAAACCGUGAGGGCCGGGGGCCCAAAGCGGACAAUAUCGUGUUACGGCGGAGCGGGUCCCGGGGUGUGACA